AUACAUGCAAGUCGAACGCAGUAGCAAUACUGAGUGGCAACGGGUGAGUAUAAUGUGGGUAUCUGCCUUUUGGUUUGGAAUAACAUGAGGAAACUUGUGCUAAUACCGGAUAAGCCUUCACAGGGAAAGUUUUAUACGCCGAAAGAUGAGCCCGCACUUGAUUAGUUUGUUGGUGAGGUAAUGGCUCACCAAGACAAUUAUCAAUAGCUGGUCUGAGAGGACGAUCAGCCACAUUGGGACUGAGACACGGCCCAGACUCCUACGGGAGGCAGCAGUAAGGAAUCUUGCACAAUGGGGGAAACCCUGAUGCAGCGAUGCCGCGUGAGUGAAGAAGGCCCUUGGGUUGUAAAACUCUUUCGUCGGGGAAGAAAAUGACUGUACCCGAAUAAGAAGGUCCGGCUAACUUCGUGCCAGCAGCCGCGGUAAUACGAAGGGACCUAGCGUAGUUCGGAAUUACUGGGCUUAAAGAGCUCGUAGGUGGUUAAAAUAGUUGAUGGUGAAAUCCC
This 506-nucleotide ribosomal RNA is filed under the name uncultured bacterium. RNAcentral's name for it is "bacterial SSU rRNA". It matches the Rfam family "Bacterial small subunit ribosomal RNA", at positions 51 to 603 of the family's 1533-position model. The record is from RNAcentral.